GACGAACGCUGGCGGCGUGCUUAACACAUGCAAGUCGAACGGAAAGGCCCUGCUCUUGUGGGGUUCUCGAGUGGCGAACGGGUGAGUAACACGUGAGUAAACUGCCCUUGACUUUGGGAUAACUUCAGGAGACUGGGGCUAAUACCGGAUAGGAGCUCCUGCUGCAUGGGGGGGGUUGGAAAGUUUCGGCGGUUGGGGAUGGACUCGCGGCUUAUGAGCUUGUUGGUGGGGUAGUGGCUUACCAAGGCUUUGACGGGUAGCCGGCCUGGGCGGGUGGACGGGCUCCUGAGUCCUGCGAGACGGCCCAGACGGGUACGUGAGGCAGCAGUGGGGAAUAUUGCGGAAUGGGGGGAAGCCUGAUGCAGCAGCGCCGCGUGCGGGAUGACGGCCUACGGGUGGUAAACCGAUUUCGCCUGUGACGAGGCGGUCGUGACGGUAAUGGGUAAAGAAGCACCGGCUAACUACGUG
Molecule: ribosomal RNA, 468 nt
Filed under: uncultured bacterium
Lineage: Bacteria
Description: partial 16S ribosomal RNA
Rfam family: Bacterial small subunit ribosomal RNA
Source: RNAcentral